RNAcentral lists this long non-coding RNA (1199 nucleotides) under Homo sapiens (human). RNAcentral describes it as "HSALNT0196269". The record is from RNAcentral. Lineage: Eukaryota; Metazoa; Chordata; Mammalia; Primates; Hominidae.
UUAUCAUUCAGGGAGAUUUUACAGAUGACAUAAUUGAUGUCAUUCAGGAAAAAUGGCCAGAGGUAGAUGAUGACAGCAUCGAAGAUCUUGGAGAAGUAAAGAAGUGAAUUUGAAAAUUUGUCUGUAUUUAAUGGCCUGAACUGAGAGUUGAUAUGGCCAAAGGGAGAGAGGCCUUUUAAAAUAUAUAUAUAUAUACACAUAUAUAUGUAUAUAUACACAUAUAUGUAUGUAUACACAUAUACACAUGUAUAUAUACAUGUGUGUAUGUAUACAUGUAUAUAUAUAUACAUACACAUAUAUGUAUACAUAUAUACACAUAUAUGUAUACAUAUAUACACAUAUGUAUACAUAUAUAUAUAUUCUACAGUAAAACUGUAGACUGUCCUCGUCCUUGGCAUUUUCACUGUUCUGUACAAGGCUGCUUGUUUUUUUAUUGCCAAAGUCAAAUAAACGGGAGACUGUCAUGCUCAUGCAUGAAUAGAAUUUAGUCAAAUAAAAAAUUUUGGUCAUUUGGUACUGACUUUCUCUCUCUCUCUCUCUCUCUUUUUUUUUUUUGACAGAGUCUCGCACUGUUGCCUGGGCUGGAAUGCAGUGGUGCGAUCUCGGCUCACUGCAACCUCCGCCUCCCGGGUUCAAGUGAUUCUCCUGCCUCAGCCUCCCAAGUAGGUGGGAUUACAGGCGCCCGCCACCACGCCCAGCUAAUUUUUGUAUUUUUAGUAGAGAUGGGGUUUCACUAUGUUGGCCAGGCUGGUCUCGAACUCCUGACCUCGUGAUUGGCCCACCUCAGCCUCCCAAAGUGCUGGUAUUACAGAUGUGAGCCACCGCACCCAGCCUGAGUUUCUCUUUCUCUCUUUUUAACUUUAUUUUUUGAAAAACCCGGUAGACUUUUUGUGGGGAGCAUUUUUGUUGAUAAUUUUACUGAUCUAAAGCUGAGUGAUUUUUUAAAAGAAUUUGAAUUUGGCUUCCUCACCAGUAAUAUGUCUCCUUGCUUCUUUGAUGUGAUAGUUUUGAGAUGGGUGAGAAUCUAAUAGAUCUGUGGUUGAAUUUGCUGUGUUGUUAUGAAGUCCACCCUGUGGGCACAAUAACAUAACUGUUGGUAGGAGUUGUUUGAGCUAUUCUGGAGAUUAUUUGGUAAAGUAUACUAAAAGCCUUAAAACCAUGUAUGUGCGCUGUUUGAACCCGUAAGCCACUUCUUUGAC